This 497-nucleotide ribosomal RNA is filed under the name uncultured bacterium. RNAcentral's name for it is "partial 16S ribosomal RNA". It matches the Rfam family "Bacterial small subunit ribosomal RNA", at positions 28 to 507 of the family's 1533-position model. The record is from RNAcentral.
GAUGAACGCUGGCGGCGUGCCUAAUACAUGCAAGUCGAGCGAACGGACGAGAAGCUUGCUUCUCUGAUGUUAGCGGCGGACGGGUGAGUAACACGUGGAUAACCUACCUAUAAGACUGGGAUAACUUCGGGAAACCGGAGCUAAUACCGGAUAAUAUUUUGAACCGCAUGGUUCAAAAGUGAAAGACGGUCUUGCUGUCACUUAUAGAUGGAUCCGCGCUGCAUUAGCUAGUUGGUAGGGUAACGGCUUACCAAGGCAACGAUGCAUAGCCGACCUGAGAGGGUGAUCGGCCACACUGGAACUGAGACACGGUCCAGACUCCUACGGGAGGCAGCAGUAGGGAAUCUUCCGCAAUGGGCGAAAGCCUGACGGAGCAACGCCGCGUGAGUGAUGAAGGUCUUCGGAUCGUAAAACUCUGUUAUUAGGGAAGAACAUAUGUGUAAGUAACUGUGCACAUCUUGACGGUACCUAAUCAGAAAGCCACGGCUAGCUACGUG